Molecule: long non-coding RNA, 2384 nt
Filed under: Marmota monax (woodchuck)
Lineage: Eukaryota; Metazoa; Chordata; Mammalia; Rodentia; Sciuridae
Source: RNAcentral
CUCUUUUAAGACUGGGAUCCUAAUUAGGAUAAGUUAUACUCCAUGUAUGUCUCAUAAGUGAAAAUAUACUCUACUGUCUUGUAUACCUAAAAAGAACAAAUUUUUUAAAAAGACUGUUUUUACUUAGGAACUGAUGACAGAACUGCCAACUCUGACCUCAAGACUCACUUUGAAUUGUUAUGACACCAGUCAGGGCUUGCCAGAUCCCUCAAGCAACAAAAGUGCUAGUUGAGCUUUCAUUCCCAACAACUUGUGCAGACUUCUCUGUCACGAUAAAGCCCUCAACCUCUCCUUUGCUCUCCCUGUAUCCCAGAGGUCACCCUGGCCUGUCCUUGUGUGGCCUGGAUUGCAAUCCUAGUCUUUGUUCCCAAAGAAAAGUUCCUUUGUUGGAGACGCCUGUGUACAUUUCUUGUUUGACUUUGACACUCUCUAGAAACCUCCCAAAGCCUAGUUCCCAUAACUGGUUACCUCUUAAGGCAGAAGAAACAGAGCUCACACCCCAUAAGAGGUCCUCAGAACUGUGCCCUUCUUCCUGGCCUCCUGCCCGGUCCCUUCCACUAUUAGGCCCCUCCUCACAGACUGUUUGAGGCUCCCGGGAACUAAAGAGAUUUGUGAGUAAGUGACCUUUAACCCAAUGAGAAUCCUCCACCCACAAUCUGGGCUAAUCUUCUUAGGUGUUAAUAUUUAGCAUUACCUUGUACUACUCAGCUCCCUGAACCCUACUCAGCAAAACCUUUUAAAACGCUUCCUUACUUCUUCUCCCUACUUUUUGUCUCGGUUGCUGUUGUUUUGAGCUGGGGUUUUACUGUGUUGCCCAGACUGGCCUUGAACUCCUGGGUUUAAGUGAUCCUUCUGCCUCAGCCUCCCACACAUAGCCAGGACUACAGUACCUGCCAUUGAGCCUGGCUCCCCUACUCUUUUAAUGGGAAUUUCUGGUGUAGCAAAGGUCUGGUAAAGAAGACUAUUCCUCUGAAAACCAAGCAUUUGAUGACAGACACAAGAAUGAUUUCUCAGAGUUGCUAUCAAUCACAGGCACAUUAUUAAAGCACAUUAUUAAAAAUCUGUAAUAAAUGUACCAGUGAAGAAGGUGAUCAGUGCUUUUAAAGCUUGGAAGAGCAGAUUCUGGUUCUGCAGGUCCAGGGUGGUAUCUCAGCUUCUGCAUGUCUACGGAAGCUCCCAGGAGACAUUGCUACCACUGCUCCUGCUGCUGCUGCUGCUGCUAUUGCUGGUGUAGGAGCCAUGGUCAGAGUGUUAUUUAUGGUUCUCCAGAGAAACAGAACCAACAGGACAUGGACACACACACACACACACACACACAUACACACACACACACACCUCUGGCCAAAUUAUUAUAUGGUUGUGUAUAGAUAUUUAUUAUGGAAAUUGGCUCACAAAUUAUGAAAACCAAAAAGCCCCACAAUCUUCUGCUGUCAGAAAACACUGAUGAUGUAAUUCAGUCUGGGUCUGAAGCCCCCAAAACCAGGCACUCUGAUGUCUGAGGACAGGAGAUGGAUGACUCAGAUCAAGGAGAGAGAGAUCUUGUCUUUCUUCUACCCUUUGGUUCUAUUCAGAUCCUCAGUGGAUUGGAUAAUGUCUGCCUACGUUUGUGGGGUGGAUCUUCUUUAUUUAAUUUACUGACCCAAAUGUUAAUAUCUUCUGGAAAGACCCUCCCAAACACAUUCAGAAAUGGUGUUUCAUCAGCCAUCGGGACAUCCCUUAGCCCAGUCAAGUGGACACACAAAAAUUAACUGUCACACUUAGCAAGGAAAUGCUACUAAGUAGUAUGGGAAGGAAACGACAGGCGAAGGAUGUCUUCCUGCAGCUCACAGCCAGCAAACAUCUCUGUUUUUCCAGGCAUCCCUGAACAGUCAAGGGCCUGGGUAUGGGGUCAGAGAGAGCUGUGUCCAACUCUGCUUUCCAUUUACUGUGUGGUCUCUGCCAAGUCAUUUAACUUGUCUGUGACCCAGUUUCCACAUGUAAAAACGGGGGUGGAGAUCAUAUCUGCUUCACUGAACUGUCAAGGAGAUUUUAUGCCACCGUGAGUCUGAUGGCUUAGCAGAGUAUCUGGUACAGAGUUGGCCUCUAAAAGCAGCGCAGAGUCUUGCUAUUGCAGGGACGGAAUCCAGAGACUAAGCAGACUACGCAAGAUUCAGCUAAGCAAGGGCCUGCUGGCUUCAGCUUUUCCAUACUCCCAGUGAGGAUGUGGCUAUGUUUUCACAAUUCCAGAUUUAAUAACAGCCAUGUCAGUGGAUGUGCUCCUGUGUUCUCUGAUUAAAUGGACAUACUUGAGUCGCCCCAGGCAAAAUGAGGUCAUGCAUCAGAAGCCUAAAAAGAAAGCUUCUUUCUAAUUCCCUGUCACACCCUCUGAUGUUGAGGUGUCUUUC